Molecule: ribosomal RNA, 253 nt
Filed under: uncultured bacterium
Lineage: Bacteria
Description: partial 16S ribosomal RNA
Rfam family: Bacterial small subunit ribosomal RNA
Source: RNAcentral
GCCAGAGGGGGCAAUCGUUGUCCGGAGUUACUGGGCGUAAAGGGCGCGGAGGCGGUCUGCGGCGUCGGCGCUGAAAGCGCCCCGCUUAACGGGGCGAGGCGUGCCGAUACGCGCAGACUUGAGGCGAGCAGAGGGUGGUGGAAUUCCGGGUGGAGCGGUGAAAUGCGUAGAGAUCCGGAGGAACGCCAGUGGGGAAGCCGGCCACCUGGGCUCGUCCUGACGCUGCGGCGCGACCGCGUGGGGAGAAAACCGG